GUUGAAACGCCGGUUACCCCACGAUCACCGAAGUUAAGCAAUGUCGAGCCGAGUCAGUACCUAGAUAAGCGACAGCUUGGGAAUGACAGGUGCUGUAAG
Molecule: non-coding RNA, 99 nt
Organism: Acanthosepion pharaonis
Lineage: Eukaryota; Metazoa; Mollusca; Cephalopoda; Sepiida; Sepiidae
Source: the annotation of a GenBank genome assembly